GAUAGUGAUACUGUGUGGUGGCUCUCAGGUUACUGACAACACACACACAGCGAGUUGUCAUUAUAGAGAGUGCAUCUGCAUAGGAACAGCCAGCCUGCACUUCAGAUAACUUGGGAGGAGGCAAGCAAACUGCAGAGGCGCCAUGUUGUGACUCAUUUUCUCAGCGUUGAGCCACGUGGCUGACUUGAUCACUUCUUGUUGCUGUACAAAGCAGGAGAAGAAGACAACAGCAGCAGGAUGACUCAACCACUGUAAAGGACAACAACAAGUGUGGACCGUCUGCCAGGACAAAGCCACAUCCAGUCCACACAUCUACUGAUUCUUUUCUUCUUGGGUGAUGCAGUGUUUGUUCCAAUGAUGACUUUUCCGGAAUCUUCCCGUGGGGAAGUCGGAUCACGUCUGACAGCUGACAAGCAUGACACCUUCCCGUUCUAUCAGCCUACGUCAGGGGUGUCCAAACAUUUUCAUCCACUGAAAAUCAAAGGAGGCAAGGGCCACUUUGACAUCUUUUGAUUUAUUUAACACAUUAAAACAAUCCAUCAAUGUGGGUACAACUCUUUGAUGCAAUAAUAUAUUUAUUGUAUAUAUAUACUGUACAUUUCAAAAUAAAGACAGCGAGAUCGUUUUCAGGA
Molecule: long non-coding RNA, 632 nt
Organism: Phyllopteryx taeniolatus (common seadragon)
Lineage: Eukaryota; Metazoa; Chordata; Actinopteri; Syngnathiformes; Syngnathidae
Exons: 3
Source: RefSeq, a predicted model, not a curated record